AAACUACGUUAAAUUCGACUAAAAUCUCUACGCGGGGGUUUUCGAGGUCGCUGAUUACGGAUUUGAAGUCAAAAAUUAUCCUACCAAAAUGGCGGAUCUAACAUGGCGAUGAGAGACAUUAAAAUUUUUCCUAAUUUUGAUAAAACAAUUCAACAGGACUGGGAAAGUUGGGACUACCACCUCGUAGAAAAAAAAGAACCGACGGCCGUUUCGAUUCCAUUGAUUGAGCCAAGUCAGAUGUACUUUCUUUGUUAUCAGAGAAUUUUCGUCUAUUCAAGGGACUAGGAUUCGAUUCUGAGCCUUUAGUAGAGCGUAAUAAUUCUUGCAGCUUGUGCUUGUAGUCGAGAGAAUCUAGUGCGUACGCAAUUAUGGAUGAAGGUUCUGAUUCAUAAACAACGAUUGGUACCACAGACCUGUAAACAUCAAUAAAAUUCAAUAAAUAUA
RNAcentral lists this unclassified non-coding RNA (444 nucleotides) under Athalia rosae (coleseed sawfly). RNAcentral describes it as "misc RNA ENSAEAG00005009234.1". Lineage: Eukaryota; Metazoa; Arthropoda; Insecta; Hymenoptera; Athaliidae. The record is from RNAcentral.